GUGGAUUAGAUACCCUGGUAGUCCUAGCCCUAAACGAUGUAGACUAGGCGUUGGUGGCUUAAUCGCCAUCAGUGUCCAAGCUAACGCGAUAAGUCUACCGCCUGGGGACUACGGCCGCAAGGUUAAAACUCAAAGGAAUUGACGGGUCCCCGCACAAGCAGCGGAGCGUGUGGUUUAAUUCGUUGCUACACGAAGAACCUUACCUGGGUUUGACAUAGCAGUGGUAGGGAAGCGAAAGCGGACCGACCCUUCGGGGAGCGGUUACAGGUGUUGCAUGGCUGUCGUCAGCU
This 290-nucleotide ribosomal RNA is filed under the name uncultured bacterium. Its description in RNAcentral is "partial 16S ribosomal RNA". It matches the Rfam family "Bacterial small subunit ribosomal RNA", at positions 773 to 1060 of the family's 1533-position model. The record is from RNAcentral.